This 440-nucleotide ribosomal RNA is filed under the name uncultured bacterium. RNAcentral describes it as "partial 16S ribosomal RNA". It matches the Rfam family "Bacterial small subunit ribosomal RNA", at positions 338 to 795 of the family's 1533-position model. The record is from RNAcentral.
CCUACGGGAGGCAGCAGUGGGGAAUAUUGCACAAUGGGGGAAACCCUGAUGCAGCGACGCCGCGUGAGUGAAGAAGUAUCUCGGUACGUAAAGCUCUAUCAGCAGGGAAGAAAAUGACGGUACGUGACUAAGAAGCACCGGCUAACUACGUGCCAGCAGCCGCGGUAAUACGUAGGGGGCAAGCGUUAUCCGGAUUUACUGGGUGUAAAGGGAGCGUAGACGGCUAAUCAAGUCAGAAGUGAAAACCCAGGGCUCAACCUUGGGACUGCUUUUGAAACUGGGUAGCUAGAGUGCGGGAGAGGUAAGCGGAAUUCCUAGUGUAGCGGUGAAAUGCGUAGAUAUUAGGAGGAACACCAGUGGCGAAGGCGGCUUACUGGACUGUAACUGACGUUGAGGCUCGAAAGCGUGGGGAGCAAACAGGAUUAGAUACCCCAGUAGUC